GAUGAACGCUGGCGGCGUGCCUAAUACAUGCAAGUCGAGCGAACAGACGAGGAGCUUGCUCCUCUGACGUUGGCGGCGGACGGGUGAGUAACACGUGGAUAACCUACCUAUAAGACUGGGAUAACUUCGGGAAACCGGAGCUAAUACCGGAUAAUAUAUUGAACCGCAUGGUUCAAUAGUGAAAGACGGUUUUGCUGUCACUUAUAGAUGGAUCCGCGCCGCAUUAGCUAGUUGGUAAGGUAACGGCUUACCAAGGCAACGAUGCGUAGCCGACCUGAGAGGGUGAUCGGCCACACUGGAACUGAGACACGGUCCAGACUCCUACGGGAGGCAGCAGUAGGGAAUCGUACGCAAUGGGCGAAAGCUUGACGGAGCAACGCCGCGUGAGUGAUGAAGGUCUUCGGAUCGUAAAACUCUGUUAUUAGGGAAGAACAAAUGUGUAAGGAACUAUGCACGUCUUGACGGUACCUAAUCAGAAAGCCACGGCUAACUACGUG
Molecule: ribosomal RNA, 497 nt
Filed under: uncultured bacterium
Lineage: Bacteria
Description: partial 16S ribosomal RNA
Rfam family: Bacterial small subunit ribosomal RNA
Source: RNAcentral